Long non-coding RNA from Cygnus olor (mute swan), 145 nucleotides. RefSeq lists it as uncharacterized. The transcript has 3 exons. NCBI's taxonomy places the organism in Eukaryota, Metazoa, Chordata, Aves, Anseriformes, Anatidae. The record is from RefSeq and is a predicted model, not a curated record.
GGAGUGUGACUUUUUACUCAGGUAGAUAAUUAGGAGAAGGGGGAAUGCUUUUAAGCUAAGAAAGGGGAGAUUAGAUUAUAAGUUGGGUGGAAAUUCUUUACUCAGAGGGUGGUGAAGCACUAGAACAGGUUGCCCAAAGGUGUGG